This 92-nucleotide transfer RNA is filed under the name Thermoflexales bacterium. RNAcentral's name for it is "tRNA-Ser". It matches the Rfam family "tRNA". From Rfam's summary of the family: Transfer RNA (tRNA) molecules are approximately 80 nucleotides in length. Lineage: Bacteria; Bacillati; Chloroflexota; Thermoflexia; Thermoflexales. The record is from RNAcentral.
GGGGAGAUGCCGGAGUGGACGAUCGGAGCCGCCUGCUAAGCGGUUGUGUGGGUAAAACUGCACCCAGGGUUCGAAUCCCUGUCUCCCCGCCA